AUUGAACGCUGGCGGCAUGCCUUACACAUGCAAGUCGAACGGUAACGCGGGGCAACCUGGCGACGAGUGGCGAACGGGUGAGUAAUGCAUCGGAACGUGCCUGGUAAUGGGGGAUAACUGCUCGAAAGAGCAGCUAAUACCGCAUACGACCUGAGGGUGAAAGGGGGGGAUCGCAAGACCUCCCGUUAUCAGAGCGGCCGAUGUCGGAUUAGCUAGUUGGUGGGGUAAAAGCCCACCAAGGCGACGAUCCGUAGCUGGUCUGAGAGGACGACCAGCCACACUGGGACUGAGACACGGCCCAGACUCCUACGGGAGGCAGCAGUGGGGAAUUUUGGACAAUGGACGCAAGUCUGAUCCAGCCAUGCCGCGUGCGGGAAGAAGGCCUUCGGGUUGUAACC
Molecule: ribosomal RNA, 398 nt
Filed under: uncultured bacterium
Lineage: Bacteria
Description: bacterial SSU rRNA
Rfam family: Bacterial small subunit ribosomal RNA
Source: RNAcentral